RNAcentral lists this ribosomal RNA (403 nucleotides) under bacterium. Its description in RNAcentral is "partial 16S ribosomal RNA". It matches the Rfam family "Bacterial small subunit ribosomal RNA", at positions 355 to 776 of the family's 1533-position model. The record is from RNAcentral.
UGGGGAAUAUUGCACAAUGGGGGAAACCCUGAUGCAGCGACGCCGCGUGAACGAAGAAGGUAUUCGUAUCGUAAAGUUCUGUCCUAUGGGAAGAUAAUGACAGUACCAUAGAAGAAAGCUCCGGCUAAAUACGUGCCAGCAGCCGCGGUAAUACGUAUGGAGCGAGCGGUGUCCGGAAUUAUUGGGCGUAAAGGGUACGCAGGCGGUUUAAUAAGUCGAAUGUUAAAGAUCGGGGCUCAACCCCGCAAAGCAUUGGAAACUGAUAAACUUGAGAAGUGGAGAGGAAAGUGGAAUUCCUAGUGUAGUGGUGAAAUACGUAGAUAUUAGGAGGAAUACCAGUAGCGAAGGCGACUUUCUGGACACAAACUGACGCUGAGGUACGAAAGCGUGGGGAGCAAACAGG